CAACAAAUAAUUUAAUAAAAAUAUUAAUUUUGGGUGUUAGUUUUGUAGAAUAUUCUACUUUGUUGA
RNAcentral lists this transfer RNA (66 nucleotides) under Abrus yunshanensis. RNAcentral describes it as "tRNA-Pro". The record is from RNAcentral. Lineage: Eukaryota; Metazoa; Arthropoda; Insecta; Hemiptera; Cicadellidae.